GACGAACGCUGGCGGCGUGCCUAACACAUGCAAGUCAACUUGACUGAAGGAGCAAUCUGACAGUAGAGUGGCGCAAGGGUGCGUAACGCGUAAGUAACUUGCCCAAGGUAAGGAAUAACGUCGAGAAAUCGGCGCUAAUACCUCAUAAUGCAGCGGAUCCGCAUGGAUAUGUUGUUAAAGGUUUACCACCUUGGGAUAGGCUUGCGUCUGAUUAGCUAGUUGGUGUGGUAACGGCACACCAAGGCUACGAUCAGUAACUGGUCUGAGAGGAUGAUCAGUCACACUGGAACUGAGACACGGUCCAGACUCCUACGGGAGGCAGCAGUGAGGAAUAUUGGGCAAUGCUCGAAAGAGUGACCCAGCAACGCCGCGUGGAGGAUGAAGGUAUUCUAUAUCGUAAACUCCUGUGAGAGCAGACGAAAGACAGAUUAUUAAUCUGGAUGACUGUAUGCUCAGAGGAAGCCCCGG
This 468-nucleotide ribosomal RNA is filed under the name uncultured bacterium. Its description in RNAcentral is "bacterial SSU rRNA". It matches the Rfam family "Bacterial small subunit ribosomal RNA", at positions 28 to 496 of the family's 1533-position model. The record is from RNAcentral.